Erpetoichthys calabaricus (reedfish) is the source of this 366-nucleotide long non-coding RNA. RefSeq lists it as uncharacterized. NCBI's taxonomy places the organism in Eukaryota, Metazoa, Chordata, Cladistia, Polypteriformes, Polypteridae. The record is from RefSeq and is a predicted model, not a curated record. The transcript is spliced from 2 exons.
UCUUUUCAAUCACCUUUUCAUGGAGUUUCUUGGAGUGUUAUUUUCAUCUUCAUUGUGUAGGCUAAGGCACAAUACUGAUUUGCCACAAGCUGAACCUUCUAGAUAAGGUGCAUUUGUCCUACAAUCAAUGGAAACACUUUAACUACAGACGGAUGUGAUCUCCAUUGUACCAAUUAUGUGACUUCUAAAACCAAUUGUCUUACGCAAUCAGUUAUUUUGUUUGCAGUAUUAGCAGGUUUUUCAACUUAGUCUGGGUCAUACAGUAAGUCUAUGUGGCUCAUACAAUAGCAACAUUUAUUCAUAUAGCAUGUUUUCAUACAAAUGAUGUAUCUCAAAGUGCUUUACAAGAUGAAGAAAGAAAAAUAU